Molecule: ribosomal RNA, 259 nt
Filed under: uncultured Methanobrevibacter sp.
Lineage: Archaea; Methanobacteriati; Methanobacteriota; Methanobacteria; Methanobacteriales; Methanobacteriaceae
Description: partial 16S ribosomal RNA
Rfam family: Archaeal small subunit ribosomal RNA
Source: RNAcentral
GCGCGAAACCUCCGCAAUGUGAGAAAUCGCGACGGGGGGAUCCCAAGUGCCAUUCUUAACGGGAUGGCUUUUCAUAAGUGUAAAAAUCUUUUGGAAUAAGAGCUGGGCAAGACCGGUGCCAGCCGCCGCGGUAACACCGGCAGCUCUAGUGGUAACUGUUUUUAUUGGGCCUAAAGCGUUCGUAGCCGGUUUAAUAAGUCUCUGGUGAAAUCCUGUAGCUCAACUAUGGGAAUUGCUGGAGAUACUAUUAGACUCGAGA